GAUGAACGCUGGCGGCGUGCCUAAUACAUGCAAGUCGAGCGAACGGACGAGAAGCUUGCUUCUCUGAUGUUAGCGGCGGACGGGUGAGUAACACGUGUAUAACCUACCUAUAAGACUGGGAUAACUUCGGGAAACCGGAGCUAAUACCGGAGAAUAUUUUGAACCGCAUGGUGCAAAAGUGAAAGACGGUCUUUCUGUCACUUAUAGAUGGAUCCGCGCUGCAUUAGCUAGUUGGUAAGGUAACGGCUUACCAAGGCAACGAUGCAUAGCCGACCUGAGAGGGUGAUAGGCCACACUGGAACGGAGACACGGUCCAGACUACUACGGGAGGCAGCAGUAGGGAAUCUUACGCAAUGGGCGAAAGCCUGACGGAGCAACGCCGCGUGAGUGAUGAAGGUCUUCGGAUCGUAAAACUCUGUUAUUAGGGAAGAACAUAUGUGUAAGUAACUGUGCACAUCUUGACGGUACCUAAUCAGAAAGCCACGGCUAACUACGUG
Molecule: ribosomal RNA, 497 nt
Filed under: uncultured bacterium
Lineage: Bacteria
Description: partial 16S ribosomal RNA
Rfam family: Bacterial small subunit ribosomal RNA
Source: RNAcentral